Molecule: ribosomal RNA, 184 nt
Filed under: uncultured bacterium
Lineage: Bacteria
Description: partial 16S ribosomal RNA
Rfam family: Bacterial small subunit ribosomal RNA
Source: RNAcentral
CCUACGGGAGGCAGCAGUGAGGAAUAUUGCGCAAUGGGCGAAAGCCUGACGCAGCGACGCCGCGUGGGGGAUGAAGGUUUUCGGAUUGUAAACCCCUUUUGUGAGGAAAGAUAAAGUGGGUAACCACUUAGACGGUACCUCAAGAAAAAGCCACGGCUAACUUCGUGCCAGCAGCCGCGGUAAU